Molecule: regulatory RNA element, 52 nt
Rfam family: L31-Actinobacteria ribosomal protein leader
Source: Rfam
UCGGUUCCGGUUCACGCCGCAGCAUCCCGACUUGGGUUGGCGACCCGGGGCC